GCAUAUCAAUAAGCGGAGGAAAAGAAAAUAACAAUGAUUCCUCUAGUAACUGCGAGUGAAGAGGGAAAAGCUCAAAUUUUAAAUCUGUUAGGUUUACCUAACCGAGUUGUAAUUUGAAGAAGCGUUUUCUGCGAAUUUGGUUAGUCCAAAUCCUUUGGAAUAAGGUAUCAUGGAGGGUGAGAAUCCCGUUCGGUUAACCAAAGCGCUUUACGAUACGCUUUCAAAGAGUCAAGUUGUUUGGGAUUGCAGCUUAAAAUGGGAGGUAAAUUUCUCCUAAGGCUAAAUAUUGGCGAGAGACCGAUAGCGAACAAGUACCGUGAGGGAAAGAUGAAAAGAACUUUGAAAAGAGAGUUAAACAGUACGUGAAAUUGUUGAAAGGGAAACGAUUAAAGUCAGUCGUACCUACGAGUAAUCAACCUACUCGAGUGCGAUUUUGUGGGUAUGUUUGAGCUUAAAAACCUUCAUGCUUACAAAUUGGUGCUCUUUGGGCGUACUUUCUCGUAUGGUAGGUUAACAUCAAUUUCGACCGUUAUAAAAUGACUGGAGGAAUGUAGCUUCGACCUCGGUUGAAGUGUUAUAGCCUUUGGUAGAUGUAAUGAUUGGGAUUGAGGAUUGCAACGGAUACCCUCUGGGCUAUUCGUCUGAUCUCUGGAAGUUACCUUGGUGUCGAAAGCGUGCUUACGAUAUUAAGGUUGACGGCCAAUAGGUUAGAACGUGAUUAAAUUCGUUAAGGAUGUUGACGUAAUGGCUUUAAACGAC
RNAcentral lists this ribosomal RNA (759 nucleotides) under Rhizophagus cf. intraradices HG-2010. RNAcentral's name for it is "eukaryotic LSU rRNA". It matches the Rfam family "Eukaryotic large subunit ribosomal RNA", at positions 38 to 648 of the family's 3401-position model. Lineage: Eukaryota; Fungi; Glomeromycota; Glomeromycetes; Glomerales; Glomeraceae. The record is from RNAcentral.